CCUACGGGCGGCAGCAGUGGGGAAUAUUGGACAAUGGGCGAAAGCCUGAUCCAGCCAUGCCGCGUGUGUGAAGAAGGCCUUCGGGUUGUAAAGCACUUUCAGUGGGGAAGAAAGCCUUGGGGCUAAUACCCUCGAGGAAGGACAUCACCCACAGAAGAAGCACCGGCUAACUCCGUGCCAGCAGCCGCGGUAAUACGGAGGGUGCGAGCGUUAUUCGGAAUUACUGGGCGUAAAGCGCGCGUAGGCGGUCUGAUAAGCCGGUUGUGAAAGCCCCGGGCUCAACCUGGGAACGGCAUCCGGAACUGUCAGGCUAGAGUGCAGGAGAGGAAGGUAGAAUUCCCGGUGUAGCGGUGAAAUGCGUAGAGAUCGGGAGGAAUACCAGUGGCGAAGGCGGCCUUCUGGACUGACACUGACGCUGAGGUGCGAAAGCGUGGGUAGCAAACAGGAUUAGAUACCCGAGUAGUC
RNAcentral lists this ribosomal RNA (465 nucleotides) under Vreelandella stevensii. Its description in RNAcentral is "partial 16S ribosomal RNA". It matches the Rfam family "Bacterial small subunit ribosomal RNA", at positions 338 to 795 of the family's 1533-position model. The record is from RNAcentral. Lineage: Bacteria; Pseudomonadati; Pseudomonadota; Gammaproteobacteria; Oceanospirillales; Halomonadaceae.